This 440-nucleotide ribosomal RNA is filed under the name uncultured bacterium. RNAcentral describes it as "partial 16S ribosomal RNA". It matches the Rfam family "Bacterial small subunit ribosomal RNA", at positions 338 to 795 of the family's 1533-position model. The record is from RNAcentral.
CCUACGGGAGGCAGCAGUGGGGAAUAUUGCACAAUGGGGGGAACCCUGAUGCAGCGACGCCGCGUGAGUGAAGAAGUAUUUCGGUAUGUAAAGCUCUAUCAGCAGGGAAGAAAAUGACGGUACCUGACUAAGAAGCCCCGGCUAACUACGUGCCAGCAGCCGCGGUAAUACGUAGGGGGCAAGCGUUAUCCGGAUUUACUGCGUGUAAAGGGAGCGCAGACGGCUGUGCAAGUCUGGAGUGAAAGGCGGGGGCCCAACCCCCGGACUGCUCUGGAAACUGUAAAGCUGGAGUGCAGGAGAGGUAAGCGGAAUUCCUAGUGUAGCGGUGAAAUGCGUAGAUAUUGGGAGGAACACCAGUGGCGAAGGCGGCCUGCUGGACAUUAACUGACGCUGAGGCGCGAAAGCGUGGGGAGCAAACAGGAUUAGAUACCCCAGUAGUC